GGGGAGGAGGGCAGGUGGUUAUACAGUGGAUGCAGCAGGGGUCUGUGCUCUUGUUGGCUUUCCUGAAGCUCCAACAGAUGCUUCAUCAUGUCCGUUUGCUCCCCGAUUAGUCUCAGCAUGGCGUCCUGACUCCGCUCUUCGCACUCACUUAAUUCUUUCCUGGCCUCUGCCACUGAAUGCCUCCAUGCAUUAAGCUGUGCCCUAUCCAUGCAGGAGGACUGCAUGAGCUCGGAAAACAUGUCAUUGCGAGUGUGUUUUUUUCACCUUCCAAUCAGCUAUAACCUCAGGGACGGAGAUGAAAGGGGGAG
Long non-coding RNA from Dermochelys coriacea (leatherback sea turtle), 308 nucleotides. RefSeq lists it as uncharacterized. The transcript has 3 exons. NCBI's taxonomy places the organism in Eukaryota, Metazoa, Chordata, Testudines, Dermochelyidae. The record is from RefSeq and is a predicted model, not a curated record.